This 245-nucleotide ribosomal RNA is filed under the name uncultured bacterium. RNAcentral's name for it is "partial 16S ribosomal RNA". It matches the Rfam family "Bacterial small subunit ribosomal RNA", at positions 527 to 771 of the family's 1533-position model. The record is from RNAcentral.
GUAGGGGGCAAGCGUUAUCCGGAUUUACUGGGUGUAAAGGGAGCGUAGACGGCUGUGCAAGUCUGAAGUGAAAGCCCGUGGCUCAACCGCGGAACUGCUUUGGAAACUGUGCAGCUCGAGUGCAGGAGAGGUAAGCGGAAUUCCUAGUGUAGCGGUGAAAUGCGUAGAUAUUAGGAGGAACACCAGUGGCGAAGGCGGCUUACUGGACUGUAACUGACGUUGAGGCUCGAAAGCGUGGGGAGCAA